This 492-nucleotide ribosomal RNA is filed under the name uncultured bacterium. RNAcentral's name for it is "partial 16S ribosomal RNA". It matches the Rfam family "Bacterial small subunit ribosomal RNA", at positions 29 to 507 of the family's 1533-position model. The record is from RNAcentral.
AGUGAACGCUGGCGGUAGGCCUAACACAUGCAAGUCGAACGGCAGCACAGUAAGAGCUUGCUCUUACGGGUGGCGAGUGGCGGACGGGCGAGGAAUACAUCGGAAUCUACUUUUUCGUGGGGGAUAACGUAGGGAAACUUACGCUAAUACCGCAUACGACCUACGGGUGAAAGCAGGGGAUCUUCGGACCUUGCGCGAUUGAAUGAGCCGAUGUCGGAUUAGCUAGUUGGCGGGGUAAAGGCCCACCAAGGCGACGAUCCGUAGCUGGUCUGAGAAGAUGAUCAGCCACACUGGGACUGAGACACGGUCCAGACUCCUACGGGAGGCAGCAGUGGGGAAUAUUGGACAAUGGGCGCAAGCCUGAUCCAGCCAUACCGCGUGGGUGAAGAAGGCCUUCGGGUUGUAAAGCCCUUUUGUUGGGAAAGAAAAGCAGCAGGUUAAUACCCCGCUGUUCUGACGGUACCCAAAGAAUAAGCACCGGCUAACUUCGUG